This 497-nucleotide ribosomal RNA is filed under the name uncultured bacterium. RNAcentral describes it as "partial 16S ribosomal RNA". It matches the Rfam family "Bacterial small subunit ribosomal RNA", at positions 28 to 507 of the family's 1533-position model. The record is from RNAcentral.
GAUGAACGCUGGCGGCGUGCCUAAUACAUGCAAGUCGAGCGAACAGAUGAGGAGCUUGCUCCUCUGACGUUAGCGGCGGACGGGUGAGUAACACGUGGAUAACCUACCUAUAAGACUGGGAUAACUUCGGGAAACCGGACCUAAUACCGGAUAAUAUAUUGAACCGCAUGGUUCAAUAGUGAAAGACGGUUUUGCUGUCACUUAUAGAUGGAUCCGCGCCGCAUUAGCUAGUUGGUAAGGUAACGGCUUACCAAGGCAACGAUGCGUAGCCGACCUGAGAGGGUGAUCGGCCACACUGGAACUGAGACACGGUCCAGACUCCUACGGGAGGCAGCAGUAGGGAAUCUUCCGCAAUGGGCGAAAGCCUGACGGAGCAACGCCGCGUGAGUGAUGAAGGUCUUCGGAUCGUAAAACUCUGUUAUUAGGGAAGAACAAAUGUGUAAGUAACUAUGCACGUCUUGACGGUACCUAAUCAGAAAGCCACGGCUAACUACGUG